AUUGAGACUUUUUCAGAUUACGAUAACAUUAUAUGUUUGAACUUAUCGAUAACAAUGUUAAAUUACGGAACUAUAAUCAUUUGUUCUGUUGCACUGUGAUAUUCGUACGGGCUUCAUGCCAAAAUGAAAUUGUAAUAAAAAUGUGAUGUAAACAAACGUGAAAAUUUUGUUUUAAGAUUUGCUCCCAAUCUUUCAAUUGACUUGCAGAGCGAAUUGUCUGCAUAAAUCUUACAAAUAAUUAACACUUAAAGCUAAAAUAAAUAAAAAACAUAUCGUUAAAUUGUUGACUUACGAUGAACUUAAAAUAAACAAAAUAAAGUAUUGUCUUGGUGAAAAAGUUUGGUGUUGAAUAUUGCCCAGAAUCAUUGUCAAAUCUUACAUUUAUGAUACCUAUAGUAGAAAGGUUUAGGGCAUAGCUGCAAAAUGGCACAAUAUUGGCGGUGCUGUAAAUGUGAUGGUUAGAGAACCUUUUAGUUGGAUUUUGAAAGUUUUGACCAACACAUUUUCUUAAAAUCUUCCUCUCAAACGUCUCAAUUUCCUUAGCUACAUAUGGCGAAAUGGUGAACCAAAUUGGUAAUCCAUAUUCAAUAAUUGGCCGGAUUGCAACUUUAUAAAGUAGCAGCUUAGUAUUUUGCGGCGGAUAAGUAUUGCACAUUAAUGUGGACAAACGUCCAGCAGUUAUCUUGGCCUUUUUCAAUGAUGCUCUGGCGUGUUCAUUAAAUUUAAAUAAUUUAUUUAUAUGUAUUCCCAAAUAUUUGAAGGAAUCUCGGAAUGGAAUUUCUAUGCCAUCCAGUAAGAGACACAGAUUCUUCGCUUCGGGAACAACGCUUCUAUGACAUUUCCCAGAUGCGUUUCUAAUACAUACUGCUUCCGAUUUAGCUGCGUUUACUGUAAUUUCCCAUGUUUUAUAAUAUUUACUUAUAUCGCCAAGGUGAAGAGCGGCUUGCUUUAAGGCUUCAGUGGGUGAGUUAUGGUGACUAUAUACCAAGCAAUCGUCAGCAUACAAUAUGGCUUUUGAAUUUUCUGUUUGAUGGGGGAAGUCGUGAAGGAAAAGAUUAAAUAGAAGGGGCGACAGGACACUGCCUUGAGGAACUCCACUCGAUAUAGAUCCAAAACUGGACAGACAAUCAUUAAUUGUGACAGUAAAUUUCCUAUCUGUCAAGAAAUUUUGGAGAAUUUUGAUUAAUAAUGGGUCCACACUAAGUUGUAUUAAUUUAUAGAUUAUCCCCUUGUGGUACACAGAGUCGAAAGCCUUUUGAAUAUCAAGGGAAAUCGCUACAGUGCAGAUAUUUUCUCUCAGGUUACUUGUUACGUCUUCACGAAACUUCAAUAAUGCAUGGUUUUUUGAGUGUGCCGCUUUAAAGCCAAAUUGCCAGUCGGGAAUCGGAUGUAUCACAAACUCAUUUUCUAAUUUUUCUCAUAGAAUUCUCCCAAAAACUUUUCCAAUAUUGGAUAACAUAGAUAUUGGACGGAACUCUUGAGGUGUUAUACUGUUAAUUUUCUUCUUGAUUGGUAUAAUUUUUCAAUUUUCCAUGACUUAGGGAAGUAUCCAUUAUUCAAACAGUUGUUGAAUAUAAUUGUUAAGAAUUUUAAAGAUUCAUCAGAAAAAUUCUUUAGUACAUAGUUUGAUAUUCCAUCUAGACCGGUCGAUUUUUUUCUAUUCAGACUUACAAUGUGCGUUUUUAUAGAUGAUACAAUUGUAAAGUGGUAGUUGUCUGAAUUGUGUAAUGAUUUAAA
Long non-coding RNA from Musca domestica (house fly), 1737 nucleotides. RefSeq lists it as uncharacterized. The record is from RefSeq and is a predicted model, not a curated record. The transcript is spliced from 3 exons. NCBI's taxonomy places the organism in Eukaryota, Metazoa, Arthropoda, Insecta, Diptera, Muscidae.